UAAUUGUAAUUUAGAUGCUUACUCAUUUUGCUCCCGCAAUAAUCUUAUCGCUUUAGCUGUUGGCAAAAGAGAUUAUUACUUUCAUUUUCCUUCUUUGGACUUUUCUAGGGAGAAAUUUUGGUCUUUCUAAUUCUCUAUUUUGGUCAGAAAUCAUUUGGGCCUAUUUGGUCCAAGGUUUUAAACAAAACCUACACACACACACUAUUGAAAACUGUGACAAGAGAGCUCUGAGAUCUCUGAAGACAUUGAUUUAAACAACUGUAAUAUCGCAUAUAACAGUCAGCUGCUACAACCCCUUUUCGGAUAAUCCCAACUCAUUUGUCAUUAGCAUCACUCCGAUCCAUAUGCACUUGAAACAUUUUCAUGAGUAAGAUACAUGGGCAAACAUAGCCACUUCAAUGGAAAUUCCUCAUGUUCAAGUCUUGCAAACAAAAAGAUGGGACACCUUUUUACCAGGAAGAACCAAGAAAACUCAUUUACUGGACCUUUUUCACUUUGCUGAAAGGCUAGGUUUAUCAGACCAGAUAAAUACUGAAACAUCACAAAGUUAAAUUACAUUCUGAGCACAGAUCGGUAGUCCCUAAUACAUUCGAAUCUGUACAAACAAGUUCAUACCAUGAUUGUGCUCCCUCUAUCCCAUAUGUGCGCGCGCACGUGUAUACACAUGUGGCUGUAGUUAUUGCAAUUAACAUUACUUAUUCCAACUUGGCAUCCAUCAGGUUACAAGAAUUACCUUUUUCUUUUUCACCGGUUUAAGGAUUUUGAUGAUGCAUCUUUCAUUGUUUGUAACAUUUAUACCUUCAAAAACCUCACUGUAUUUUCCCCUUCCUACUUUCCGGACAACCUCGUAGUCAUCUUGGUCACUGGAAACAAAACAAACAAAAAAGAAAACAAAGACAUCAUACCUUAAGAAACAUGCUUACACAACGUUUAAACGAAAGAAACGUUUCUUAAAUUGGAGAGAAUGACAGAAAAUUUUCUUUCAUUUGUUCAUUUUCUCCAUCAUCCAGCUUUAACUUCUAUUCAAUUUUUCCUCUUCUGGUGGCAUAGAGGGUGAGAAUACAUAUGAAGCACAGAAGCAAAUUGGCACACGAGUCAAAAACUAGAUUCCUGUUAGGUUCUCGGCAACAAUUUUCACAACGCCUGCAUUCAAUUAUCCUCCCUCCCAUCCUCUUGAAAAAUAAAACUGUUUCUUCCUCCCUAGAAUGUACAAAGUAUUGAUACAAGCGACGAACAUGAGGCCUGGCCAGUCUAUACAUGACCACCAAUAUAAGUCCCCUAAUUUCUAAGAACGCAAAUGCAACAAUCUCAAAACAGACCAUAUGAUGACGACAACGGACUCUUACCACAGCCACCAUACAUAGUUUACCCUAUCAUCUUAAAAAUAAGUUCUAUAGCACAAAACUCCAAGGUAUUUCUAUAGUCAAAUACAGAUUGCAUAAAAGAUCCCCUACAGACCUAAUCCAAGUGUAUUGAACCCAAGGAUUGAGUGCAAUCUGAAAUUUAAGUCGACACUCCGACAAAAAUAUGAGCAAGAAUGGGAUAUUUCUAAAAAGGUUUUUCUUCAAUAAAUUUCAGACACAGUAUACACUCAAAAUUAGGCGCAGGUAUGCAUAAUUUGAACAGUAAUGUAGCCAAUAACUGAACUCCGCAACAAAAAUCUAAUCAUACCUGGUUACAUAAUUGUUCCACCAAUUUCAUAAAAGUUGGAUUAUUUGCGGAUAAAAUGUGGUUACAAAAUAAGUUAAACAUUGAAAAGUUAACUACAAAAAGUUAGCCAAUUAUUCCGCCAAGUUAAUCCAAAAAACAGUUAUAUAAAACCUAGAUAUCCACUAAUACGAUAUGAAAUACACAAGUAAAAGAAGAAAUAGGCUAAUUAGAGCUAACUAUCUAGAUUAAGCGGAUUUACCCCCACUGGACGGUGAGAGCUUCGUAGUUCCAAUAAUCUUGAGGACGGUGGACAUUGAUGUCUGCGUAUACUCGAGCUCGAGACAUGGCUCUGACGAAAUUUGGAAUUUCAAGCUAGGAUUGAAGCUCCGACGAUUGAAUCCGACGAAAUUUCACCUGAUCUUUUCUCUUUCCGCUGUCCAUCGUCAUUCGUCAGCUAUGAGCCUAUGACAUAUUGGAUGGGUCCUCAUGGUUUUGGGUUAAAACGAGAAGGAGACCGAACCCUUUCGGCCAAUUCAGCUUGAGGCACUUAUAUCAAGCCUGUUGGGGAAUUUCUGAGUCGGGUCGGCUUCAAACUGGAGUUCAAAUUAAAAAUUACUCUACCCGGACCAUGUAUUAUAAAAUAAAUUUCAUAAAAACUCCCGACGACGUGUAGGUGCACUUCUCGAAAUAAACAUAAAAAUAAGUUUAGACACGGGAUUGAGCUAGAUAUUUCAUAUUAAUAAGUAUAAAAUUUCUUUUAAAUUGAAUAUACACUUGAGAUUGUAUUCGAGCUUUAUUUAUAAGUUUUUUUUUAACUCGAAGUUAUUAAAUUAUUUAAAUUACUUGAACUUGAUAUCAUUUUUUUUCUCGAAAACGAUAGAUGAUAUUUCAUAAAUAAUUGAAAUGUACAAUAUUUGAGCAACGGCUCAAGCAGCUUUACAAAGUGUAUCAUGACAUUUAAGGUGAGCCAAAAAAUCUCUCCCCAUCCAUAAGUAUGUUUAGAGCAUAAUGGCUAAUUUGAUUACAUAGAGUCAUAUUACUAUCAUUCCUAACUUCAAAAGAGCACAUUUGAAACAGAUUAGCUAAAACAUGUAUGUCUUCGAUCAUCAACGUGGCAGUGUUUGGAUUGUCUCCUUUCCCAUCUCUUAGCAAGGCAAUAAGUUGCUUGUUAGCAUUGGUGACUUUGAUUCUUUGCCAACUUUGUUGUCUUGCUUUCAUUAGUGCCAACCUUACUGCUACAGCUUCAUCUUGAAUAUCCCUUUGCGAGCUUCUAUCCACUAAAGUCCAUUCAGCUCUGAUCCUCCCUCCAGAUUGCUUGGCGACUAUGCCAAUUCCCAGUUUAUGCCCACUGCUGAUUUCUUGGUGAAGUUCCAUCAGCUCUCGUUAUCAUGCUAAAUAUAAUUUUCAUUAUUUGAAACUUACAUAUCUAAAUUAGAUAAAGAAUGUCCGUAUCCAAUUUCGAGUCCUGUCUAACCCGAUCUCAAUUAUACAUGGUGCUUGUUUUCUUAAGCAAUAAAAUUAAAAGUUAGCGUAAUAAACACAAAUACUUGAGUUAAUUGUAAUUUAGAUGCUUACUCAUUUUGCUCCGCAUAUAUCUUAUCGCUUUAGCUGUUGGCAAAAGAGAUUAUUACUUUCAUUUUCCUUCUUUGGACUUUUCUAGGGAGAAAUUUUGGUCUUUCUAAUUCUCUAUUUUGGUCAGAAAUCAUUUGGGCCUAUUUGGUCCGGUUUUAAACAAAACCUACACACACACACACUAUUGAAAACUGUGACAAGAGAGCUCUGAGAUCUCUGAAGACAUUGAUUUAAACAACUGUAAUAUCGCAUAUAACAGUCAGCUGCUACAACCCCUUUUCGGAUAAUCCCAACUCAUUUGUCAUUAGCAUCACUCCGGACUCUCUCAUACAAUCGGUACAUAAGCGUUGAUUUUGACAUCUGAGGCUCCCUUUCUAGAACAGCAAUCACAUCCUUGACUGAAAUAGUGCGAGCCACCUUGGGUUGUGCCACUACAACUUGAUUUCUUCCUACUUUUCUAACUGCACC
Molecule: long non-coding RNA, 3690 nt
Filed under: Coffea arabica (coffee)
Lineage: Eukaryota; Viridiplantae; Streptophyta; Magnoliopsida; Gentianales; Rubiaceae
Description: long non-coding RNA (CARA_LNC006730)
Source: RNAcentral